This 28-nucleotide non-coding RNA is filed under the name Mus musculus (house mouse). The record is from RNAcentral. Lineage: Eukaryota; Metazoa; Chordata; Mammalia; Rodentia; Muridae.
CUGGAAAUCUGUGAGUAUCUGGUGAAUU